RNAcentral lists this ribosomal RNA (1464 nucleotides) under metagenome. RNAcentral describes it as "bacterial LSU rRNA". It matches the Rfam family "Bacterial large subunit ribosomal RNA", at positions 1484 to 2925 of the family's 2925-position model. The record is from RNAcentral.
GUGUUGGCCGGGCGACGGUUGUCCCGGUUUAAGCGUGUAGGCUGGUUUUCCAGGCAAAUCCGGAAAAUCAAGGCUGAGGCGUGAUGACGAGGCACUACGGUGCUGAAGCAACAAAUGCCCUGCUUCCAGGAAAAGCCUCUAAGCAUCAGGUAACAUCAAAUCGUACCCCAAACCGACACAGGUGGUCAGGUAGAGAAUACCAAGGCGCUUGAGAGAACUCGGGUGAAGGAACUAGGCAAAAUGGUGCCGUAACUUCGGGAGAAGGCACGCUGAUAUGUAGGUGAAGCGACUUGCUCGUGGAGCUGAAAUCAGUCGAAGAUACCAGCUGGCUGCAACUGUUUAUUAAAAACACAGCACUGUGCAAACACGAAAGUGGACGUAUACGGUGUGACGCCUGCCCGGUGCCGGAAGGUUAAUUGAUGGGGUCAGCGCAAGCGAGGCUCUUGAUCGAAGCCCCGGUAAACGGCGGCCGUAACAAUAACGGUCCUAAGGUAGCGAAAUUCCUUGUCGGGUAAGUUCCGACCUGCACGAAUGGCGUAAUGAUGGCCAGGCUGUCUCCACCCGAGACUCAGUGAAAUUGAACUCGCUGUGAAGAUGCAGUGUACCCGCGGCAAGACGGAAAGACCCCGUGAACCUUUACUAUAGCUUGACACUGAACAUUGAGCCUUGAUGUGUAGGAUAGGUGGGAGGCUUUGAAGUGUGGACGCCAGUCUGCAUGGAGCCGACCUUGAAAUACCACCCUUUAAUGUUUGAUGUUCUAACGUGGACCCGUGAUCCGGGUUGCGGACAGUGUCUGGUGGGUAGUUUGACUGGGGCGGUCUCCUCCUAAAGAGUAACGGAGGAGCACGAAGGUUGGCUAAUCCUGGUCGGACAUCAGGAGGUUAGUGCAAUGGCAUAAGCCAGCUUGACUGCGAGCGUGACGGCGCGAGCAGGUGCGAAAGCAGGUCAUAGUGAUCCGGUGGUUCUGAAUGGAAGGGCCACCGCUCAACGGAUAAAAGGUACUCCGGGGAUAACAGGCUGAUACCGCCCAAGAGUUCAUAUCGACGGCGGUGUUUGGCACCUCGAUGUCGGCUCAUCACAUCCUGGAGCUGUAGUAGGUCCCAAGGGUAUGGCUGUUCGCCAUUUAAAGUGGUACGCGAGCUGGGUUUAGAACGUCGUGAGACAGUUCGGUCCCUAUCUGCCGUGGGCGCUGGAGAACUGAGGGGGGCUGCUCCUAGCACGAGAGGACCGGAGUGGACGCAUCACUGGUGUUCGGGUUGUCAUGCCAAUGGCACUGCCCGGUAGCUAAAUGCGGAAGAGAUAAGUGCUGAAAGCAUCUAAGCACGAAACUUGCCCCGAGAUGAGUUCUCCCUGACUCCUUGAGAGUCCUGAAGGAACGUUGAAGACGACGACGUUGAUAGGCCGGGUGUGUAAGCGCAGCGAUGCGUUGACUAACCGGUACUAAUGAACCGUGAGGCUUAACCU